GUUUGAUCCUGGCUCAGGAUGAACGCUAGCGGCAGGCCUAACACAUGCAAGUCGAACGGUAACAUGAGAGCUUGCUCUUGAUGACGAGUGGCGCACGGGUGCGUAACGCGUAUGCAACCUACCUUUUACUGAGGGAUAGCCCAGAGAAAUUUGGAUUAAUACCUCAUAGUAUCAUAAAUGUUCAUGCAUUAAUGAUUAAAACUUCGGUGGUAAAAGAUGGGCAUGCGUAAGAUUAGCUAGUUGGUAAGGUAACGGCUUACCAAGGCGACGAUCUUUAGGGGGCCUGAGAGGGUGGUCCCCCACACUGGUACUGAGACACGG
This 321-nucleotide ribosomal RNA is filed under the name Cylindrotheca closterium. Its description in RNAcentral is "partial Bacterial small subunit ribosomal RNA". It matches the Rfam family "Bacterial small subunit ribosomal RNA", at positions 11 to 329 of the family's 1533-position model. Lineage: Eukaryota; Bacillariophyta; Bacillariophyceae; Bacillariales; Bacillariaceae. The record is from RNAcentral.